This 90-nucleotide transfer RNA is filed under the name Bdellovibrio sp. RNAcentral's name for it is "tRNA-Ser". It matches the Rfam family "tRNA". From Rfam's summary of the family: Transfer RNA (tRNA) molecules are approximately 80 nucleotides in length. The record is from RNAcentral. Lineage: Bacteria; Pseudomonadati; Bdellovibrionota; Bdellovibrionia; Bdellovibrionales; Pseudobdellovibrionaceae.
GGAGAGGUGGGAGAGUGGUUUAAUCCAACAGCCUGGAACGCUGUCAUGGUCGCAAGGCCAUCGCGAGUUCGAAUCUCGCCCUCUCCGCCA